UUCUCUAGUUCUUUUCUUCUUAAUGUUCUGGAUUGUAUCGUUUGCAUCAACUUUUUUCUAUCUGCAUGGUUCCUUUUUUCAUUCUUUGUUCUUGCAUUGUGUUUUACUUUAAUACCAUUAUUCUGUUUGAUAUUUUGAAUAUUUUGUGGCUGUGUGUUGGGAUAUUCAGUAUGAAGAUCUUUAGUUGGAAUGUAUGUGGUAUACACUCAUCUCUGAUAAAAAAAUAUCUUGCUAACCACAUUAAGAAUUUAAAACCUGAUGUUGUUUUUGUCUGUGAAACUAAGAUUUAGAAUCACAUCUCUUUUUUCCCCUUCUGCUCCCUUAAAAAUUAUAACUCGGACCAAUUUCAUCAAUAGUGAGGGGUUUGCUAGUAGGAAAGGGGGAUUGUGGGUUCUCCUUUCAAACUCACUUGGACCCUAUAGAGUGACCUUUGGAUCCUUCUUAUUUUUCAUUUUGUUUGACCCCUGCAAUGAUUUUCCCACCCAUUGGGGGUUGAUCUGCAACUCACAGGUAGGGGUGGAAUGAACUCUUUUCCAUGAUUUUUCCCCUCCAUAUUCCCUGUCCUUAUUGGUUAUUUCAAUGAGACCCUAUCCCUUGAUCACAAAUUUGGUGGAACCUCUUUUAAGCAUUCUACCUCCUCUCUUCUUCUACAAGUCCCUCUUUCUACCCUUAAUUUUGAAGAGAUCCUCCUUUCUAGGAACCCCUUCACCUAGACAAAUAAGCAAUUGCCACCUUCCUUGAUCAAAGUCUAUUUGGAUCGCACCUAUGUGAAUCCUGGGUUGUUGUCUUUAUUUUCUCAUUCUUCUCUCACUAAACUACCCUCAGUAGGAUCAGACCAUAAUCCAAUUAUCCUGAAUACCUCUCCCUCUUCCUUUAAAUUAAAAAAAUAGUUUCAUUACUAACAUGCUUGGUUUGUCCACCAGGAUUUUCUCCCUUUUUGGCAUCACAAGUGGAAUGCUUUUGGAAUUGCUUCCCUAAAUUCUAAAUUAGCUAGCCUUAACAAAUUGCUUCUCAAAUGGAAUACUAAGGUGUUAGGUAGAAUCAACCACCUUAAAGAUAAUUACCUCUCCCAAUACCUCCUCUUGGAAAACCUCUCGCAAUCCCCUUUGAAUGACCUUUCCAAAAUUUGCUCCAAUGCUGAAUGGAUCCUAACAGUUGAAGAAAGGUUUUGGCACCAGAAAUCAAGACACUCAUUUAUCUUCGAUGGGGAUAGAAACACCAAGUUUUUUUAUGUUGUGACCAAAGUCCAACAACACCAAAGAAGAAUUAUUUUCAUCUCUAUUGUUGGUGGUUCAAGAGUUACUGAACCUGCUCUAAUUGCUAAUGAGUUUAUUGGUUUUUUAGAGGAUCUCUUUACAACAUCCAACCCCCUUGAUCCUUCUUUCAUUGAAUGUCUCUUUACCCCUAUCCUUCUGCCUAAUCCCAUUUCUCUCACCUCUCCUCCCUCCAUUGAUGAGAUUAAAUUUGCUAUCUUUUCCAUUGGAGCCUAUAAAGCCCCUUGUCCCAAUGGUUUUCAAGCCAUCUUUUUUUAAAAUUAUGGGAUCUUCUCCAUCCAGAGAUUCAAGCUUUCGUUCACCAGUUCUUCAACAAUGGAAUUCUCCCACCCGAAUCCAAUCACACUCUCAUUUGCUUGAUCUGUAAAAAAUUUAAUGCCUUUGUUGUUAGUGACUUUUGGCCUAUUAGUCUCUGCAAUGUCACUUACAAAAAUUACUUAAAUCCUCGCUUCCAGGUUCAAAACCCGUUCGAGGGAUUUCAUUUCUCCCUGCCAAACUGCGUUUGUUCCUGGGUGUCAAAUAUCAGAUAACAUUGUUUUUGCCCAUGAAAUUUUUCAUUUUUUGAAAGGUGAAGAAAGUCAAAUCUGGUUUUGUGGCCAUCAAACUUGAUAUGAAAAGGCAUAUGAUAAGCUAUAAUGGAAUUAUCUUUUGGCUAUUUUUAAUUUUCUUGGGUUUGGUCCGAAGUGAGAGCAACUGGUUAGAUGUCUGAUUUCGACUUCGUCUUUCUCGAUCAAAUUCUUUGGUUCUGCCUUCAACUUUUUUAGAGCAUCAAGAGGAAUUCGUCCAGGCUGCCCUCUUAGUCCUUUUCUCUUUAUUGUGGCAUUGGAUGGGCUAUCUAGAUUGCUUGACACUUAUAAAGAGCUUAAUCUUUUCAAUGGUAUCAAAGUUUCAAGGUAUGCUCCUGAGAUUUCUCACCUCUUCUUUGCCGAUGAAACAUUUAUUUUCUAUAGAGCUACAAGUGAUGAUCUUGCCACUGUUAAAUGUAUCUUGAUCUCUUUUCUGAUCUUUCAGGACUGGCCACUAAUGUCAACAAAAGUGAUUUUGCUUUCAGCUCUAAUAUUCCUCUUGAAACUAGGAAUUCUUUGUGUCGAGUCAUCGGUAUUAAGGAAAUGGAUUAGGAUUCCUCCCAUAUUGGUACUAACUUGUUUUCUCCCAGAGCUAGAUCUCUAUUCUUUAGGAAUGUGAUUUGAAGAGUGGAGCUCAAACUUGGGACAUGGAAGGCAAAACUUUUGUCUUAUGCUAGAAGAACUAUGCUGAUCCAAUCAACUAUCUCAUCGAUUCCUUCUUACUUUAUGACUUGUUUUACUUUCCCUAAAGGUUGUGCAGGAAGCUGGAUGCUAUUUCCAUGCAUUUCUGGAAUAAUGAUUAUGCUUCUCAUAAAAGACUGCGUACCAUUGGGUGGAAGAGGAUUUGUCAACCAAAAAGAUUUGGUGGCCUAGAGUUACGUGACAGAAACUCAUAACAAAGCCCUUCUUUUAAGGCUUGGAUGGAGACUGCUAAAUUAUAAAGAGUUACUAUGGGCAAGAACUCUUAAAGCCAAAUAUUUGAUGCGAAGGUCAGUCUUUGAUAAGAGAACUCUCAAAUCAAGAGGAUCUCUUUGCUGGAAUGCUAUUGUGUACAUGCUUAUCAACUUGCUCUUAAUGGUGGUGGUUUUUUUUUU
This is a long non-coding RNA of Macadamia integrifolia, 2934 nucleotides long. RefSeq lists it as uncharacterized. The transcript is spliced from 2 exons. The record is from RefSeq and is a predicted model, not a curated record. NCBI's taxonomy places the organism in Eukaryota, Viridiplantae, Streptophyta, Magnoliopsida, Proteales, Proteaceae.